RNAcentral lists this ribosomal RNA (253 nucleotides) under uncultured bacterium. Its description in RNAcentral is "partial 16S ribosomal RNA". It matches the Rfam family "Bacterial small subunit ribosomal RNA", at positions 524 to 776 of the family's 1533-position model. The record is from RNAcentral.
UACGUAGGGUGCGAGCGUUACUCGGAAUUACUGGGCGUAAAGCGUGCGCAGGCGGCGCGUUAAGUCAGGUGUGAAAGCCCCGAGCUUAACUUGGGAAUUGCGCUUGUGACUGGCGUGCUGGAGUGUGGCAGAGGGAGGUGGAAUUCCACGUGUAGCAGUGAAAUGCGUAGAGAUGUGGAGGAACACCGAUGGCGAAGGCAGCCUCCUGGGCCAGCACUGACGCUCAUGCACGAAAGCGUGGGGAGCAAACAGG